CUACGGGACGCUCCAGUGAGGAAUAUUGGGCAAUGGAGGCAACUCUGACCCAGCCAUGCCGCGUGCAGGAAGACGGCCCUCUGGGUUGUAAACUGCUUUUGUUUGGGAAUAAACCCUUCUACGUGUAGGAGGCUGAAGGUACCAUUCGAAUAAGGAUCGGCUAACUCCGUGCCAGCAGCCGCGGUAAUACGGAGGAGCCAAGCGUUAUCCGGAUUUAUUGGGUUUAAAGGGUCCGUAGGCGGGUCUUUAAGUCAGUGGUGAAAGCCGACAGCUCAACUGUGGAACUGCCAUUGAUACUGGAGAUCUUGAGUGUAGUAGAAGUAGGCGGAAUAGGGCAUGUAGCGGUGAAAUGCAUAGAUAUGCCCUAGAACACCGAUUGCGAAGGCAGCUUACUAUGUUACAACUGACGCUGAGGGACGAAAGCGUGGGGAGCAAACAGGAUUAGAUACCCCGGUAGUC
RNAcentral lists this ribosomal RNA (459 nucleotides) under uncultured bacterium. RNAcentral's name for it is "partial 16S ribosomal RNA". It matches the Rfam family "Bacterial small subunit ribosomal RNA", at positions 339 to 795 of the family's 1533-position model. The record is from RNAcentral.